RNAcentral lists this unclassified non-coding RNA (343 nucleotides) under soil metagenome. Its description in RNAcentral is "partial contains 5.8S ribosomal RNA, internal transcribed spacer 2, and large subunit ribosomal RNA". The stretch from base 1 to 120 matches the Rfam family "5.8S ribosomal RNA", at positions 35 to 154 of the family's 154-position model. The record is from RNAcentral.
GAUGAAGAACGCAGCGAAACGCGAUAGUUAAUGUGAAUUGCAGAAUUCAGUGAAUCAUCGAAUCUUUGAACGCACAUUGCGCCCGCUAGUAUUCUGGCGGGCAUGCCUGUCCGAGCGUCAUUUCAACCCUCAAGCCCCCGGGCUUGGUGUUGGGGAUCGGCGAGCCUCCGCGCCCGCCGUCCCCUAAAUCUAGUGGCGGUCUCGCUGUAGCUUCCUCUGCGUAGUAGCACACCUCGCACUGGGAAACAGCGCGGCCACGCCGUUAAACCCCCAACUUCUGAACGUUUGACCUCGGAUCAGGUAGGAAUACCCGCUGAACUUAAGCAUAUCAAUAAGCGGAGGA